UGGGGAAUAUUGCGCAACGGGCGAAAGCCUGACGCAGCGACGCCGCGUGAGGGAUGAAGGUCCUCGGAUCGUAAACCUCUGUCAGGGGGGAAGAAGCGCCUGUGAGCAAAUAGUUCAUGGGUUUGACGGUACCCCCAAAGGAAGCACCGGCUAACUCCGUGCCAGCAGCCGCGGUAAUACGGAGGGUGCGAGCGUUAAUCGGAAUCACUGGGCGUAAAGCGCACGUAGGUGGCGUGGUAAGUCGGGGUGAAUCCCGCAGCUCAACUGUGGAACUGCCUUCGAUACUGUCAUGCUUGAGUAUCGGAGAGGGUGGCGGAAUUCCAGGUGUAGGAGUGAAAUCCGUAGAUAUCUGGAGGAACAUCAGUGGCGAAGGCGACUAUCUGGCACAUAACUGACACUGAGGAGCGAAAGCGUGGGGUAGCAAACAGGAUUAGAUACC
This 439-nucleotide ribosomal RNA is filed under the name uncultured bacterium. RNAcentral's name for it is "bacterial SSU rRNA". It matches the Rfam family "Bacterial small subunit ribosomal RNA", at positions 355 to 786 of the family's 1533-position model. The record is from RNAcentral.